UUCACCUCGCCGUUUUCAACCAUACUCGCAACCUUAACCUCGCCCGUCUUUACUGCCAGCAACUCUUUCUUCUUUUCCUCUUCUUCCUCAAGCUUUUUCCGUUCAGCCUCCGCUUUAGCAGCUUCCAGAGCUCCUAUCAAACUCUUCAAACACCUUUCGGUAUCCGGCGGGCUGGUCUUCGGCAUCAAAUUCUCCGCCACAUCCGCCGGAGUCAUCUCAACUUCUCCCAACAAUUCACUAAUCCUCUCAAACAAGUCAUGUGUUUGGAUACAUAAAUAAUUCUUCGCCAAUACCUUAAACGCCUCGAACCCGCAAUAAGACAACUCAAUAUGCUUAUCCAUCCUGCCUCUCCUAAUCAAUGCAGGAUCCAGCUUCUCAACAUGAUUAGUAGUAAAAACAAUCAAUCUAUCUCCACCACAAGCUGACCACAACCCAUCAACAAAAUUCAACAAACCGGAUAACGUAACCUUACUAGUUUUCCCUUCAUUCUCAGGCGGCUUUAUCGGUUUCUUCGGGUCACUCUCCUCCUCCUCUUCCUUCACUUCCUUCUUCCUCUGUCCGGUAAGAUCCAUCGAACAAUCGAUAUCUUCAAUCACAAUAAUCGACUUACUCGACGUCUCUAUCAACAAUCUUCUAAGCUCCGUGUUGUCCUUGACAGCUGUCAGUUCGAGGUCGUAUAUAUCGUAGCAUAAGAAAUUCGCCAUGGCGGCGAUCAUGGUGGAUUUACCGGUCCCUGGGGGACCGUAAAGAAGGAUCCAUAGCUAGGGUUUGAAACGAAGCUGGAUGCUCAAACACAACAUGGCUCCAUUGAGAUCCGUUGUUAGUGUAAAGCUUUCUCAUUCGGGUUUUCACUUUAAUGUCUCUACCUUCUUUCAAAACAUGUUGGUAAAAUGAAAACGACUGUGUCUUGAGUAUGUUUUUACCGGAAGACCAGUAAACUUUGACGCCGUUAAAGUCAUCCGCCACUUCUUCAUGAUCGUCCAUGGAUAAAGAGAGUGGUUGCGUGUUGUUUUUGAUAACAUCGGCUUUGAGUCGUUUGGCUUGCAUUGAAGUGGUCUUGCCGAGGUAGGUUUCGAUAGCGGAGUAGGCUUCGCUGCGCUUGAAGCGCUCGCCGGUGAAUUCGUUGAAGGUGAUUUGGAUGUAAGGGUAGAAGAGGGUUAGGAAACGUUGAGAGUAUUUUUCGAAAAAGUUUCGGACGUUGUAUGGGAAGUAUUGUUGGAUGAUGGCCCAAACGAACAUGACACUAGCUAGAAGUGAACCUAAGUGUCCUAACAUGUCUGCCAUGUUGAAUUUGUUCAUGGUGUUUGGUUUUGUUGAAUAUUGGAGAUGAGGGUUUGGUGUGGAUGGAUGGGGUGCUUGGUUUAUAAAGAAUAAAAAUGGGUGAAUCAAUAUGGGGUUGAAAACGGUGGGUAGGGGUAGGGUUGCUUAAUUUAAGUUUGCUACGUGUUUGUUUGUUUUCUUGUUCGAUAAGCUUAUGAAUAGUUGAAGUCGUCGGUUGUUUUUUUGUGUUCACAUGGACCAUGGCUGUAUAAUUUGGACUUUUCCUUUAGAUUUUUAAAUGUGCAUAGAAAAAAAAAUUAUCUUAUGGAUGUGGUAUUCAUUUGUACCUCAUACCGUC
Molecule: long non-coding RNA, 1618 nt
Filed under: Helianthus annuus (common sunflower)
Lineage: Eukaryota; Viridiplantae; Streptophyta; Magnoliopsida; Asterales; Asteraceae
Description: hypothetical non coding rna
Source: RNAcentral